RNAcentral lists this ribosomal RNA (326 nucleotides) under uncultured eukaryote. RNAcentral's name for it is "partial 18S ribosomal RNA". It matches the Rfam family "Eukaryotic small subunit ribosomal RNA", at positions 1470 to 1796 of the family's 1831-position model. The record is from RNAcentral.
CCCUUAGAUGUUCUGGGCUGCACGCGCGCUACACUGAAGCGUUCAACGAGUAUUCACCUUGCCCGGGAGGGUUGGGUAAUCUUUUGAAAACGCUUCGUGAUGGGGAUAGAUUAUUGCAAUUAUUAAUCUUCAACGAGGAAUUCCUAGUAAGCGCGAGUCAUCAGCUCGUGCUGAUUACGUCCCUGCCCUUUGUACACACCGCCCGUCGCUACUACCGACUGGUAAGAUAUCUAAGGAGCAUGGACGUCGGCAGACGCGGUUCGCGCCGUGUCUGCGGGCAGAAGCGCCCCGCAGAUUUCUUGCUGGAGGAAGUAAAAGUCGUAACA